CCUACGGGUGGCAGCAGUGAGGAAUAUUGGUCAAUGGGCGCAAGCCUGAACCAGCCAAGUCGCGUGAAGGAUGAAUGUCCUACGGGUUGUAAACUUCUUUUAUAAAGGAAUAAAGUGAGGCACGUGUGCCUUUUUGUAUGUACUUUAUGAAUAAGGAUCGGCUAACUCCGUGCCAGCAGCCGCGGUAAUACGGAGGAUCCGAGCGUUAUCCGGAUUUAUUGGGUUUAAAGGGAGCGUAGGUGGGUUGUUAAGUCAGUUGUGAAAGUUUGCGGCUCAACCGUAAAAUUGCCAUUGAUACUGGCAGCCUUGAGUACAGUUGAGGUAGGCGGAAUUCGUGGUGUAGCGGUGAAAUGCUUAGAUAUCACGAAGAACUCCGAUUGCGAAGGCAGCCUACUAAGCUGUAACUGACACUGAUGCUCGAAAGUGUGGGUAUCAAACAGGAUUAGAUACCCCAGUAGUC
This 460-nucleotide ribosomal RNA is filed under the name uncultured bacterium. Its description in RNAcentral is "partial 16S ribosomal RNA". It matches the Rfam family "Bacterial small subunit ribosomal RNA", at positions 338 to 795 of the family's 1533-position model. The record is from RNAcentral.